Podarcis lilfordi (Lilford's wall lizard) is the source of this 108-nucleotide non-coding RNA. The record is from the annotation of a GenBank genome assembly. NCBI's taxonomy places the organism in Eukaryota, Metazoa, Chordata, Lepidosauria, Squamata, Lacertidae.
UGUCCAGUAGCACCUUAGAGACCAACUAAGUUUGUUCUGGGUAUAAGCCUUUGUGUGCAUGCACACUUCUUCAGAUACUUUAGUUGGUCUCUAAGGUGCUACUGGACA